UACGGAGGAGGCAAGCGUUAUCCGGAAUGAUUGGGCGUAAAGCGUCCGCAGGUGGCCGUUCAAGUCUGCUGUCAAACCAGGGGCUCAACUCCUGACCGGCAGUGGAAACUGAACAGCUAGAGUGCGGUAGGGGCAGAGGGAAUUCCCGGUGUAGCGGUGAAAUGCGUAGAGAUCGGGAAGAACACCGGUGGCGAAAGCGCUCUGCUGGGCCGCAACUGACACUCAGGGACGAAAGCUAGGGGAGCGAAUGGG
This 252-nucleotide ribosomal RNA is filed under the name uncultured bacterium. Its description in RNAcentral is "partial 16S ribosomal RNA". It matches the Rfam family "Bacterial small subunit ribosomal RNA", at positions 524 to 776 of the family's 1533-position model. The record is from RNAcentral.